RNAcentral lists this ribosomal RNA (300 nucleotides) under uncultured fungus. Its description in RNAcentral is "eukaryotic LSU rRNA". The stretch from base 1 to 71 matches the Rfam family "5.8S ribosomal RNA", at positions 84 to 154 of the family's 154-position model. Lineage: Eukaryota; Fungi. The record is from RNAcentral.
GUGAAUCAUCGAAUCUUUGAACGCACAUUGCACCCUCUGGUAUUCCAGAGGGUAUGCCUGUUUGAGCGUCAUUUCUCUCUCAAACCCUCGGGUUUGGUAUUGAGUGAUACUCUAAACUGGGUUAACUUGAAAUAUUUGGCAAGAGUGUGCUUCAGUGCGCUUGAGUGUUGACAUAAUGUAUUAGGUUCUACCAACUCGUUAUAUCUCACGCUUGUACACAGCUAGCAUGUUUGGCUCGGCCUAUAUAAUAUCUUCACAAAGUUUGACCUCAAAUCAGGUAGGACUACCCGCUGAACUUAA